This is a long non-coding RNA of Camelus dromedarius (Arabian camel), 1546 nucleotides long. RefSeq lists it as uncharacterized. The record is from RefSeq and is a predicted model, not a curated record. The transcript has 3 exons. Lineage: Eukaryota; Metazoa; Chordata; Mammalia; Artiodactyla; Camelidae.
UGCCAGUCCAGCUGACUGGUCAGCUCAGGCCUCGUCACACUCAGAAGUCAUGUGACACUCAGGACCUUGACCCAUGCAAGCACAACUGAAUCCCAGCAGGCCCUACCUGCAAGACCCUCUAGCCGCUCAGGCUGCAGAGCUGUUGUGCCCAGAUUCAGGCCACGGACAGUAGGAAUCGCGGCCAGUCAGCUCAAAGGCAGGGUCAGCGGUGGAAUGGGGGCGUGUCGGGGUGCGCUUCGAAUAGGCCACCUGCUCACUUCUUGGAAGCGUAAAAGGAGCCUGAAUUCUAACCCUGGGAAGAUGGUCUCUGGCGCAUCUCACCAUCGUCUCGGCCUGCCGGCUUCCCUUGCCCCAGCACGUCUCUGCUCGGCGUGUCCUGGGGCAAGCAAUGCAAGCUUGGACUCUGCAGCAGAGCCGCCCUCUCGAGCCGAGGCACCUUCCUGCCAUGUCCCUGCUUUUUUUCUUUUUUUCCUUUAUUUUUACCUUUUCGUUAAUGGAGGUGCUGGAGAUUGAACCCAGGACCUCAUGCAUGCCAAGCGCACGCUCUAGUGCUGAGCUCUACCCUCCCCACCCUCCUCCUCCUCCUUUUUUUUUUUUUUUUUUUAAUUUGAAGUAUAGUUGAUUUAUAAUGUUGUGUUAGUGUCUGGUGUACAGCACAGUGAUUCAGUUAUUUGUAUAUAGAUUCUUUCUCAUAGUCUUCAUUAUUUUAGGUGAUUCCAAGGUGUUGAAUGUAGUUCCCUGUGCAACGCAGUGGGACCUUGUUCUUUUUCAUUUUCCUUUAUUUAGUUUCUCUUCCCCGUGAACUGUGCUCAGAGACCUUGCUUCACACUCCGUGUCAGUGACGUGCGAUCCCAGCUGCAGACGAGGUGACUGACGCUGGCUGAAACCAUGGGAGUUCAUUGCUCCCAUGAUGGCGAGCAAGGGAUGACACCACAGCUGCCACCAGGGCCGUCAGAGACCCAGGACCUUCCCCCCCGCGCACCCUGCUCCUGCCUCUUCACGUGGUCCAGCUGCCCUGCCUGUGAUGGUGGCUGUGGGGCUUCUUCAAGCCAGUGAAGCCUGGGGAGUUCAUGUCCCUCCCGGGCUUGGGUGGUGAGUCUCCUUUUCGCCUUCAUCUGACUUUCUUCUUGUUCCUCCAUUUUGCCAGAUGAUGUGAGGGUGACUUAAACUACAACACGCUGGGCCCCGAAGGUAGAAGCAACCCAGGGGGUGCGGGUCUAGCUCUGUGGUAGAGUGCGUGCUUAGCAUGCAUGAGGUCCUGGGUUCAAUCCCCAGUCCCUCCUCCUAAAAAAAAAAAAUAAACAAACCUAAUUAUCUCCUCCACCACCACCAAAAAAAAAAAAAAAAGGAAGCAGUCUGGGUUCUGGACUCGCUACUUACAGCGGAGCCACCGGGCCCAUUGCAGUGGGAUGCGAACACGUGGGCUCCCAGGACUUAGUGGUCUCUGCCGCCCGGCCUAGCCCGCCCUGUCAAGUUCAGUCUCUAGCUUAGCUUUUCUUUUAAGUAUGAAAAAUUAAUCAAUAAACUAAUUCUGGCACCUUUAAAA